This 64-nucleotide transfer RNA is filed under the name Alca torda (razorbill). Its description in RNAcentral is "tRNA-Ser". Lineage: Eukaryota; Metazoa; Chordata; Aves; Charadriiformes; Alcidae. The record is from RNAcentral.
AGGGGCGGUUCAACCAACAAGAACUGCUAAUUCUUGUAUCUGAGUUUAAAAUCUCAGCCCCCUU